AGAACGAACGCUGGCGGCAGGCUUAACACAUGCAAGUCGAGCGCGUGUAGCAAUACACGAGCGGCGCACGGGUGAGUAACGCGUGGAUAUCUGCCUUUUGGUUCGGAAUAACCCCGGGAAACUGGGGCUAAUACCGGAUGGUUCCUACGGGAUAAAGAUUUAUCGCCAAAAGAUGAGUCCGCGUCCGAUUAGCUAGUUGGUGAGGUAACGGCUCACCAAGGCGACGAUCGGUAGCUGGUCUGAGAGGACGAUCAGCCACACUGGGACUGAGACACGGCCCAGACUCCUACGGGAGGCAGCAGUGGGGAAUAUUGGACAAUGGGGGCAACCCUGAUCCAGCCAUGCCGCGUGAGUGAUGAAGGCCUUCGGGUUGUAAAGCUCUUUUGGCGGGGACGAUGAUGACGGUACCCGCAGAAUAAGCCCCGGCUAACUUCGCGCCAGCAGCCGC
RNAcentral lists this ribosomal RNA (448 nucleotides) under uncultured bacterium. RNAcentral's name for it is "SSU rRNA". It matches the Rfam family "Bacterial small subunit ribosomal RNA", at positions 26 to 518 of the family's 1533-position model. The record is from RNAcentral.